Molecule: long non-coding RNA, 2710 nt
Organism: Corythoichthys intestinalis (scribbled pipefish)
Lineage: Eukaryota; Metazoa; Chordata; Actinopteri; Syngnathiformes; Syngnathidae
Exons: 2
Source: RefSeq, a predicted model, not a curated record
AACACAUAGCACGCGAAACACAAACACAUUCACCAAAUGUGUGUGUGAAUUGUUUUACGCGCAUUUGCAACGUGCUUCCAAUUACAAAUUCCCACUUACGAAUACAAAUUCCCACUUACGAAUGUGUGGAUCGUUUUGAUACCCGUCAUGCGCAACUGAGAAGAACACAUGCAUUUUUUUAACUGGAGCCCGUCUUCAGCCAAUCAGACGUCUUCUUCUUAAACAGCCAAUCACAAGGGCUGGGCUGUUUCGUUACGUCACUGCUGUGCGCCUUCAAGUCCGGUGUACUGAGUGACAAGUGACAAAUGGGGAGCUUUUGUAAAAGUAGGAGCCCCGUUUUUGACAGCUCAACUCGACCGCGGGGACUAUCGAUGCAAGCUGAAGACGUCCCAUCCAUUUUGAGUGGGAGGACCUCCCAUGCACUUCAAAUGUAUUGGAUGUCAACUGGUGAAAAACUCAUUGAACCGCUCAGCAGAGGGAUGAUGAGAGCAAGAUUAGAUGUCUAAUACUGUACUAUAUGUGGCACAUUUUUAACAGGCUUUUUUUCCGCUAAAUAAGUCUUUUUAAGAUUACUUUCUCCAUUUCAAGCCUAUUUGAAAGUCAUACUUGGGAAAAUUCAGACUUCUUAAUGUAUGAUUGUGAUGUCUAUGCUUAAACCAAUUUAAGACCAUUUUAAAAGGAAAAAAAUAGACAUUAUAAGCCUGUUAAAAAUGCUACCUACAGUGACAGUAUUUAAAGGAUGGUAGUCUAUUACGGAUAUAAAAAAAUAUAUUUUUUGAAAGACUUGGAGCAACAGAGCUUUCUUGCCAAAUGAAUCACAUUUGAUACACUUAGGAUUUAGAACUCUUUCCUCAAAAAAAAAAAAAAAAAAAAAAAAUGGAUGCAAGUCAACUCAUGCAUCUGCAUGUUCCAUGAGAAAAACAGGAUUUAACAAGGAAAAUAGAUAUUAGAGCGCUUAUUACACAUUUUUCUUUACAAAUUUGGAAAAAAAAAAAGGUUUAAGACCUUAUUUUUCACAUUUUGUGAUUCUCUGACAAUUGCUCCAUAUUGCAGGCAUUAAGGGGUUAAGACCUGCCACAUGAAUUUUACUACCUUUUUAAACACUUUUUUUUAUUGCGACAAACCUAAUAAGUGAUCAAUGAUGGCAAGAGAGGAUAAAGCGCAGCAGCAAAUCCUCAGAUCUGUUCUUUGGAUGCCUUUGAAAGUAAAUAGUGACAUUGAGAGCAAUCAGGAGUUCAAUUAUGUGAGGUGAGGAGACCAAGUAAGUUUUGAGACAUUUUUUUAAUUUAAAUAGACAUCUCAGACUCCCAGCCUGUAGGAGGGCACAGGCUAGAUCUCCUCGAGCCUUCAGAACUUCGGGAAGGUGGGUCUGGUUGUGCCUGAGAUCUCCAUUGGCCAUAUACUCUUCCGCAAACUGAAAUGGCAUUUUAGGCAUUCUGUUACAUAUCAGUGCUAAACAACAACAGCAGCAAAGUUUUACUGCAGAGACUCCGAAAUCUUAAAAUCAUUACCUUUAAUGUGAAAACCCCACAGCUACUGUUGUUCUGCUGCUUGUUAUGGGCCACAGUUUUGGUAGUCCAAGUUUCUAUUUGGAACUCACGGCCCGCCAACCUCAAGAAGUUCCUAAUUAUUGUUUUAUAAGCAAAACAAUGAAGAUGAACAUUGAACUAUUAACUUCCAUAUUAACAUAAUACUAGGAAUUUAAACUUUCUGAAGCGGUUACCUCCAAUUCCGCAAGAUUUUGCUCAUAUUUGUCCUCGUUACUCAAGGGAUCGUUGAUCACCAGUGUUCUCUUAGAAAUGUGGACAAUCUAUAAAAGGUUAGUUCCUUUGUGUAAUUCUGCACAAUGACAGAUUUAUGUAGUUAACUUAAUGAAAUUGAACUUCUGUAUGGCAUCAGCUAAAUUAAUAGCUAUAUAUAAUACAUUCCAGAAUCGGUAGGUCUUAAGAAAAUAUAAGAAACCCACUAACCACUAAAAUCCAAUGAGCGCAUACAGGACAGGACAGGACAAAUACACUUUUUUUUUCAACAGGGAAUUUCCUCUGAAGAACAUACAAUACCAAAUUAUUGUUAUUUUGGGUUACUGGCGUUAAAAUAAUAUAGCUAAAUAUUGGCAUGAAAUGGAUUACCUUUCUAACAGGCUGAAAUUUUCCCAAAAGCAGACUCCCAGCUACCACAGCAGAGAGUUGGUGAAUGGGCUCCUGUUAAAAAAAGGGGUAACAACAUUACAACUAUACUCCGGCAAAAAAUAAAUGCAUUGAGAAAAACUAUAUCCAGCACUUGGCUGCUGCCUUUCAAUGAGGAUAUGCAUGUAUGCAUCAAAUACUUGCAUAGCAAAAUAAAAAAAUUGGCAAAAGGCAAGAAUCUUUGUUAUUUGCUAAACACUUAUUGCUCCCACUGACUUCAUCAGACAGCCAGCCGUUGCCUUUUAGCGUAUGAAAAGAUGUGUCGUAUAAUUUAUACGGUCCAACGACAGCCUCCACCUUGCCUUGAUCCUCUGCAGCCCACAGUAAUUUAACUGAAAACACAACAUUGUUAAAUCAAAAAAGUUAUUAUUUACGGCACUUGACCAGAUGACCAUCCGGUCAAAAUUAUCUACUGAAUAGGCCAAACCACCAAACAAAUCCUGUCGGUCGUUCACCAAUUUUGUAAGAGCUGUACGAAGUAGAAGGGUACAAUUAGAUAUACAUUUUAGAACACCAACAACAAC